AGUGAACGCUGGCGGUAGGCCUAACACAUGCAAGUCGAACGGCAGCACAGUAAGAGCUUGCUCUUACGGGUGGCGAGUGGCGGACGGGUGAGGAAUACAUCGGAAUCUACUUUUUCGUGGGGGAUAACGUAGGGAAACUUACGCUAAUACCGCAUACGACCUACGGGUGAAAGCAGGGGAUCUUCGGACCUUGCGCGAUUGAAUGAGCCGAUGUCGGAUUAGCUAGUUGGCGGGGUAAAGGCCCACCGAGGCGACGAUCCGUAGCUGGUCUGAGAGGAUGAUCAGCCACACUGGAACUGAGACACGGUCCAGACUCCUGCGAGAGGCAGCAGUGGGGAAUAUUGGACAAUGGGCGCAAGCCUGAUCCAGCCAUACCGCGUGGGUGAAGAAGGCCUUCGGGUUGUAAAGCCCUUUUGUUGGGAAAGAAAAGCAGCAGGUUAAUACCCCGCUGUUCUGACGGUACCCAAAGAAUAAGCACCGGCUAACUUCGUG
Molecule: ribosomal RNA, 492 nt
Filed under: uncultured bacterium
Lineage: Bacteria
Description: partial 16S ribosomal RNA
Rfam family: Bacterial small subunit ribosomal RNA
Source: RNAcentral